AGUUUGAUCCUGGCUCACAAUGAACGUUGGCGGCAUGGAUUAGGCAUGCAAGUCGCGCGAUAAACGUAGCAAUACGUGGAAAGCGGCGAAAGGGAGAGGAAUACGUGGGAACCUACCUUCGGGCCUGGAAUAGCGGCGGGAAACUGCCGGUAAUGCCAGAUAACGUCCCCGGACCAAAGGUGUGAUUCCGCCUGGAGAUGGGCCCACGUCCUAUCAGCUAGUUGGUGUGGUAAUGGCGCACCAAGGCUAAAACGGGUAUGGGGUGUGAGAGCAUGCCCCCACUCACUGGGACUGAGACACUGCCCAGACACCUACGGGUGGCUGCAGUCGAGAAUCUUCGGCAAUGAGCGCAAGCUUGACCGAGCGAUGCCGCGUGCGGGAUGAAGGCCCUCGGGUUGUAAACCGCUGUCGUAGGGGAGUAACGGCCAGGGGGUUCUCCCUCUGGUUUGAACAAUCCUAGGAGGAAGGACGGGCUAAGUUCGUGCCAGCAGCCGCGGUAAGACGAACCGUCCAAACGUUAUUCGGAAUCACUGGGCUUACAGAGUUCGUAGGCGGUCCCAAAAGUUAGGUGUGAAAUCCCUCGGCUCAACCGAGGAACUGCGCUUAAAACUGUGGGACUCGAGGGAGAUAGAGGAAAGCGGAACUGAUGGUGGAGCGGUGAAAUGCGUUGAUAUCAUCAGGAACACCGGUGGCGAAGGCGGCUUUCUGGGUCUUACCUGACGCUGAGGAACGAAAGCUAGGGGAGCGAACGGGAUUAGAUACCCCGGUAGUCCUAGCCGUAAACGAUGAGCACUAGGUCGUGGGCCUCCACAGGCCCUCGGCCGUAGCGAAAGUGUUAAGUGCUCCGCCUGGGGAGUAUGGUCGCAAGGCUGAAACUCAAAGGUAUUGACGGGGGCUCACACAAGCGGUGGAGGAUGUGGCUUAAUUUCGAGGCUACGCGAAGAACCCUUAUCCUAGUCUUGACAUGCUUAGGAACCCCUCCCGAAACGGAGGGGUGCCGCAAGCAACCCUUUUGCACAGUGCCUGCCACGGCUGUCGUCAGCUCGUGUCGUGGAAAUGUUCCGUUCAAGUCGCUACCGAGCGAACCCCGUUGGUACCA
This 1099-nucleotide ribosomal RNA is filed under the name uncultured bacterium. RNAcentral's name for it is "bacterial SSU rRNA". It matches the Rfam family "Bacterial small subunit ribosomal RNA", at positions 10 to 1114 of the family's 1533-position model. The record is from RNAcentral.